CCUACUGGAGGCAGCAGUGAGGAAUAUUGGUCAAUGGGCGGAAGCCUGAACCAGCCAAGUAGCGUGCAGGAUGACGGCCCUACGGGUUGUAAACUGCUUUUAUACGGGAAUAACGCGCCUUACGUGUAGGGCUUUGCCUGUACCGUAUGAAUAAGUACCGGCUAAUUCCGUUCCAGCAGCCGCGGUAAUACGGAAGGUCCGGGCGUUAUCCGGAUUUAUUGGGUUUAAAGGGAGCGUAGGCCGCAUGUCAAGCGUGCUGUGAAAUGUCCGGGCUCAACCCGGGCCUUGCAGCGCGAACUGGCGUGCGUGAGUCCGCGGAAAGCAGGCGGAAUUCGUCGUGUAGCGGUGAAAUGCUUAGAUAUGACGAAGAACCCCGAUUGCGAAGGCAGCUUGCUGCAGCGGAACUGACGCUGAUGCUCGAAAGCGCGGGUAUCGAACAGGAUUAGAUACCCUAGUAGUC
This 460-nucleotide ribosomal RNA is filed under the name uncultured bacterium. RNAcentral describes it as "partial 16S ribosomal RNA". It matches the Rfam family "Bacterial small subunit ribosomal RNA", at positions 338 to 795 of the family's 1533-position model. The record is from RNAcentral.